This 672-nucleotide long non-coding RNA is filed under the name Olea europaea subsp. europaea. The record is from RNAcentral. Lineage: Eukaryota; Viridiplantae; Streptophyta; Magnoliopsida; Lamiales; Oleaceae.
AAACCAGCAAAUACAUUUAUGAUGUAGUUGAAAAAAGUGCAUGUAUACGCAUUAAUUGCACAGUAGAUGAAUCAAGAUUAAAGCUGAAUAAAGAUCAAUUAACUGUAGACUGCCCAGAAGGUGAUGAUGCCAUCCGCAGGUGGUGGUGACAGAAGAAACAUAGGUUGAAGUGGCUAUGGAGCAGGCACAGAUUGCUGCACAGAUGCAGGCGUAUUGCCCCCAUUUUUAGUGUAAACUUCUUUCCUUCAUUACCAUGCCCAGUUUAUUGGGGAAGAUUUAUGUCUUUGUUAGCUAAUGCUUAAUGGGUUCCUUGCAUAACAUGCAUAAUUAGAACUACAUAAUGAACGGAACAGAAAAUUGUACAAUAGAAAAAUUCUGAGAUCAAUUUUAUUAUUUAGAGAUACAUUCAUAAAUUUAUCAAAUCUAUAUUUUCGGCUCCUCCAUCAGAUUUGAUAAGUUCUUUUUUCCUCCCAAUUCGACUUCCUACAAUGUUCACAAAUAUCUAUAGUAGAGUUUAUUGAUUGACUAGAUUUACACUGUGAGGAAUAUGAUUUAACAGUGACACCACCUAUAAUACUUUCCAUUUUUGUCAGUGAACUAAAGUACUGAACUUCCUGCUAAUUGCCUUCCUGAUAUUUCUCACUUUCCAAUUUCAGAAGUUUCAAGUUUUCG